This 353-nucleotide ribosomal RNA is filed under the name uncultured Glomeromycotina. RNAcentral's name for it is "SSU rRNA". It matches the Rfam family "Eukaryotic small subunit ribosomal RNA", at positions 569 to 927 of the family's 1831-position model. The record is from RNAcentral. Lineage: Eukaryota; Fungi; Glomeromycota.
AGCAGCCGCGGUAAUUCCAGCUCCAAUAGCGUAUAUUAAAGUUGUUGCAGUUAAAAAGCUCGUAGUUGAAUUUCGGGGUCAGUAGGUCGGUUGUGCCACUGGUAUGAACUGGUUUUACUGAUUCCUCCCUCUUGAAGAACUGUAAUGCCAUUAAUUUGGUGUUGCAGGGAAUCAGGACUGUUACUUUGAAAAAUUAGAGUGUUUAAAGCAGGCUUUAGCUUGAAUACAUUAGCAUGGAAUAAUGAAAUAGGACGUUUGAUCCUAUUUUGUUGGUUUCUAGGAUUGACGUAAUGAUUAAUAGGGAUAGUUGGGGGCAUUAGUAUUCAAUUGUCAGAGGUGAAAUUCUUGGAUUU